CUUUAAAUUUUAGUCUUCAGAGGAAGCAAAAGACAUACUUCAUAAGUACAAAUGAUCUUCCUAAGUACAAAAGAUACGGUGGUACCAUGGUUCAUGAACGUAAUUUGUUCCAUGAUUCUGGGGAAGAUGGAUGUGGUCAUAUUCAUCACCAGACGCAAAGUUCAGGAAAAAGGAGCCUGAAGCAGAAGUAUCACAAGUUUGAGUCCCACUUGGGCAACUUACCAAGACCCUGACUAAAAAAAAAUAAAUAAAAAUAAAAAGGACUGGAAUGCUGCUUAGUGAGAAGACCUUGAGUUCAAUCCCCAGUACCACAAAAAGGAAAAUGAAGAAUUACAGUGAGUAAAUCCACAAACCUGAUGGGAGAAGCCCAAGUGAUUCUAAUCCAGCACCUCUGUGGAGG
Molecule: long non-coding RNA, 400 nt
Filed under: Heterocephalus glaber (naked mole-rat)
Lineage: Eukaryota; Metazoa; Chordata; Mammalia; Rodentia; Bathyergidae
Description: lncRNA (ENSHGLG00100037771.1)
Source: RNAcentral